RNAcentral lists this ribosomal RNA (253 nucleotides) under uncultured bacterium. RNAcentral's name for it is "partial 16S ribosomal RNA". It matches the Rfam family "Bacterial small subunit ribosomal RNA", at positions 524 to 776 of the family's 1533-position model. The record is from RNAcentral.
GACAGAGGCCUCGAGCGUUAGGCGGAAUCACUGGGCUUAAAGCGUGUGUAGGCGGAUCGUUAAGUGUCUUGUGAAAUCCCUCGGCUUAACCGGGGAACUGCGUCUGAUACUGGAUGGCUUGAGUUUGGGAGAGGGACGCGGAAUUCCAGGUGUAGCGGUGAAAUGCGUAGAUAUCUGGAGGAACACCGGUGGCGAAGGCGGCAUCCUGGACCGAGAUUGACGCUGAGGCGCGAAAGCCAGGGGAGCAAACGGG